Molecule: long non-coding RNA, 1627 nt
Organism: Carassius gibelio (silver crucian carp)
Lineage: Eukaryota; Metazoa; Chordata; Actinopteri; Cypriniformes; Cyprinidae
Exons: 4
Source: RefSeq, a predicted model, not a curated record
CCCGCGUUGACAGCAGCGCAAGAAACACUGUCAUAGAGCAAAAACAUCGAUCUUCAGAUUCAGAACAAAAGCUAAGAACCAAACGAAGUCCUUUUAAAGACGUUUUAUCGUAGAAAUAGAAGGUUUAACCAUCCUUACUGCUUUAUAAUGCAUGCAAGUGGGCAAGCUUUAAGCGGAAACGUAGGCUACUUACAGUGAUGAUCCUAGCAAUGGAUGGGACAGAGCACCUGACAAGCCAAUGUCAAAAGAGACCUGUGUGUAAAGUGUUGGAGUGUAAAUGGCAAGACCCACAACAGUUACAGACAGUUACAGACAAGAAUAAGAACAACGAGCGUGCAAAGUAUGAGACAUGUUUGGACUGUUAAACCCAAUCCAACAGAAACAGAGCUCUGGACAUGUGGACAGACAUCUGCUGAUGCACAGGCCAAAAGCAUAACCCCUUCUGGACAUCGUGCUGGAGCUCAGGGGGGGACCCCACGAUCCCCCACACCUUCUCACUCACACCAUUCAUUCAUAUCGCAGAGAUCUGGCUGGACUCAAACCAGCAACCUCUGAACCAUGAGGCAGUGCUCUUACCACUGAGCCACAGAUCUCUUGUACAAACAUGUGCAAGAAUUUAUAUUUCACAAUUUACAUGUAUGUCACUUGGGAUUUUACAAUAAACCAAUUAAAGUUACAAGCAAACACUGAGCCAGGGUUUGAAACCAUGACUCCAUCGCAACCAUGUCCAUAACUAACAUGUGUUUUGCCACUACACCAUCACGGCUUUCAUGCUGAGUGGUGGCAUUUGUUGGAUAUAAUGACAUCAUAAUCAAUUUAGCCUAUGCAAGAGUGGGAGUUGAACCCAUAAUUUCAUUGCAACCUUGUCCACAACGAACGUGUAUUCAGCCACUGUACCAUUGUGGCUUUCACGCCAAAAAAAUGGCAUUUAGGACACUUUUCUGAAUAUAAUGACAACAACUUAAUGUAUGCAAGAGUCAGAUUUGAACCCAUAUCAUCACAACCUUGUCUGCAAGUUAGUACGUUUAAGCCACUGCGCUAUCAUGGAUUUCACAACAAGAAAUGCCAUUUGAACACUUUGUUAUUUUAAACUCAAUUUUAAUACAUUUAUUAGAAAACAAUGCAUUUGUACUGUAAAACAAGUAAAAGAUAGUCAGAAAAAUUUUUUUUGCAUUAUGGGUGGUUGUCACUCUAUGUUAGACAUACACUGUACCAUAUCUGACUCUAGGUUCAGGGUGAAUAAGACUAGAAUGAGUCGAAGCUGUUGUUGUAUAUUCUAGGAGGUGUCCAUCUGUUGCUUGGCGAGUCGUGAGGCACGGGCCAAGAGUCAUGACCCCAUAUUGAUGGGCGAUGGAAAUGUCUAUGCAACCCAAAGCCAGAGGUGUUGGUGAUGGUCAGUUCAGAUUACAAACCGUGACCUCUGUGUGGUUGACAGCUGACUUUGAGAGGACAAAAGGUCACGGCUGAUGUCUAGCAGAACCACACAAAAAAAGGGACAACAGAUAAAAUUUCAAAGGUUCAACUUACUAUAACCAUAACAUUAAUAACAUACAUAGGCCUUAAUGAACAUAAAUCAUGCUUGAAUUAAUGAAUAUGUGCUCUUCAUUAAAUAGCUCUCUGUAUUUUA